UGGGCUCUGAAUCAACAGCUCUUCUUCCCAAGGAGCUAAAGGAAUGGGAAGAGAGCUGUCUGUGGCUGGCAGACCUGCCCAGAGGAAGGCUCAUGAAUUUAAGCGGUUAUAUAUCUGUGCACGCAAAUCAUGGCGGUGCUUCGAACACGGCGCUCUGGUGUUGGGUGCUGUAAAUCAGAAAAGUCAGAACAGAAAAGGCUAACGAUGCUGAUCGCUUCGAAUGGGGCCAGAACGCUCUGCAAGCCUAGCGGAGUUUUUGACAUGGAUUGAAUAAAUUGAUGGAUUAAA
This 288-nucleotide long non-coding RNA is filed under the name Rattus norvegicus (Norway rat). Its description in RNAcentral is "long non-coding RNA NONRATT017727". The record is from RNAcentral. Lineage: Eukaryota; Metazoa; Chordata; Mammalia; Rodentia; Muridae.